GAAAUUCCAAUCGAACCUGGAGAUAGCUGGUUCUCUCCGAAAUAGCUUUAGGGCUAGCCUCAAGUGAUGAUUAUUGGAGGUAGAGCACUGUUUGGACGAGGGGCCCCUCUCGGGUUACCGAAUUCAGACAAACUCCGAAUGCCAAUUAAUUUAACUUGGGAGUCAGAACAUGGGUGAUAAGGUCCGUGUUCGAAAGGGAAACAGCCCAGACCACCAGCUAAGGUCCCAAAAUAUAUGUUAAGUGGAAAAGGAUGUGGCGUUGCCCAGACAACUAGGAUGUUGGCUUAGAAGCAGCCAUCAUUUAAAGAGUGCGUAAUAGCUCACUAGUCGAGUGACACUGCGCCGAAAAUGUACCGGGGCUAAACAUAUUACCGAAGCUGUGGAUUGUCCUUUGGACAAUGGUAGGAGAGCGUUCUAAGGGCGUUGAAGCAUGAUCGUAAGGACAUGUGGAGCGCUUAGAAGUGAGAAUGCCGGUGUGAGUAGCGAAAGACGGGUGAGAAUCCCGUCCACCGAUUGACUAAGGUUUCCAGAGGAAGGCUCGUCCGCUCUGGGUUAGUCGGGUCCUAAGCUGAGGCCGACAGGCGUAGGCGAUGGAUAACAGGUUGAUAUUCCUGUACCACCUAUAAUCGUUUUAAUCGAUGGGGGGACGCAGUAGGAUAGGCGAAGCGUGCGAUUGGAUUGCACGUCUAAGCAGUAAGGCUGAGUAUUAGGCAAAUCCGGUACUCAUUAAGGCUGAGCUGUGAUGGGGAGAAGACAUUGUGUCUUCGAGUCGUUGAUUUCACACUGCCGAGAAAAGCCUCUAGAUAGAAAAUAGGUGCCCGUACCGCAAACCGACACAGGUAGUCAAGAUGAGAAUUCUAAGGUGAGCGAGCGAACUCUCGUUAAGGAACUCGGCAAAAUGACCCCGUAACUUCGGGAGAAGGGGUGCUCUUUAGGGUUAACGCCCAGAAGAGCCGCAGUGAAUAGGCCCAAGCGACUGUUUAUCAAAAACACAGGUCUCUGCUAAACCGUAAGGUGAUGUAUAGGGGCUGACGCCUGCCCGGUGCUGGAAGGUUAAGAGGAGUGGUUAGCUUCUGCGAAGCUACGAAUCGAAGCCCCAGUAAACGGCGGCCGUAACUAUAACGGUCCUAAGGUAGCGAAAUUCCUUGUCGGGUAAGUUCCGACCCGCACGAAAGGCGUAACGAUUUGGGCACUGUCUCAACGAGAGACUCGGUGAAAUCAUAGUACCUGUGAAGAUGCAGGUUACCCGCGACAGGACGGAAAGACCCCGUGGAGCUUUACUGUAGCCUGAUAUUGAAAUUCGGCACAGCUUGUACAGGAUAGGUAGGAGCCUUUGAAACGUGAGCGCUAGCUUACGUGGAGGCGCUGGUGGGAUACUACCCUAGCUGUGUUGGCUUUCUAACCCGCACCACUUAUCGUGGUGGGAGACAGUGUCAGGCGGGCAGUUUGACUGGGGCGGUCGCCUCCUAAAAGGUAACGGAGGCGCUCAAAGGUUCCCUCAGAAUGGUUGGAAAUCAUUCAUAGAGUG
This 1528-nucleotide ribosomal RNA is filed under the name Staphylococcus aureus. Its description in RNAcentral is "partial 23S ribosomal RNA". It matches the Rfam family "Bacterial large subunit ribosomal RNA", at positions 823 to 2351 of the family's 2925-position model. The record is from RNAcentral. Lineage: Bacteria; Bacillati; Bacillota; Bacilli; Caryophanales; Staphylococcaceae.